Molecule: long non-coding RNA, 4422 nt
Organism: Dreissena polymorpha
Lineage: Eukaryota; Metazoa; Mollusca; Bivalvia; Myida; Dreissenidae
Exons: 4
Source: RefSeq, a predicted model, not a curated record
GCUAGUCAACUCGUACCUAAGUCAACUCGUACCUUCCGUUGUUUUCAUCCGAUCUUCACCAAACUUGCCCAUAUGGUGUAUCCGCAUGAUGUCUUGGUGGUGUUGCCAUUAUUAUUGGACAAAAAACUGGGAGAAUUUUGUACAUUGGCAUAAGAAACAAAUACUGUUACGUAUGCUCACAUACGGAAAAUACUCAUCAAACAGUACCACAUCACCAAUGCUUCAAAAACUGGAACUCGAAUCAUCAAGCCAUGGAAGCUGACAUCAUCCUUGAUGGAUUCCGUUUGGUAGAGAAAUGCAUGGGUUACGGUAUAUGUGGUUAGUUGGUGAUGGGGAUUCAUCAGUUUAUGCCAAAAUACAUGAAGAAAUUCCAGUUUGGGGAAGUCAUGUUAAAAAAUUAGAAUGUUCAAAUCAUGUUUGUAAGUGCCUUCGUUCCAAUUUUGAAAAGCUAGUGGACGCUAAUCCUCAUUACAAAGGCAGUUUGCAUUCGCUUAGUAAGUGCUGUCCGAUGUGCUAUCCGGAUACGAUCCAAAGAAGAAAAUGUACAUAAUGCAAUAAUCAAGUUAGAAAAAGACGUUCGAAACUCUGUUCACCACAUUUUUGGCAACCACAACAAUUGUUCAGAUUUCUGUAAAGCUAAAUCAAUUCCACCUAUUAACCAAACAACAUCCUACACUUAGAAUUCCACUGAAGUAGACUAACCAUCUGAUUUAUGUAUUCAAAAUAAUUUACUUUGGAAAGAAGGAACAUCUUUAAAAGAUCAGGAACUUUCACGCUAUUCUUCAACACUUUCAUAUUCAGAUCUUAAAUCAGAUAUGUUGAAUGACAUUUCAGUAUUGCUGGACAGAGUUUCUAAUAAAAGUAAAAGACUCAUCAAUAAUACAACAACUAAUUAGGCUGAGUGUUGGAUGCACAUGCGCACCAAAUUUGACGGAGGCAAAGUCUACAAUUUGUGUAAUCGUGGGUCAUGGCAUACUAGGUGUUAUGGUGGAUGUUUACCAAUGAAUGUCGGACCACAGUGGUCUCCCACUGUUUGGAAACAGGUGACAGACUCCUCACCAGGAUACCACUUCAUAAAACUAUAUGAGGAAAGGGACAAGCAAUUGACACUUUCUAAUCAGUCUAAAACCAAGCCACAAGCUCAAUCUAAUAGGUGGAAAAGAAAAAUGUCUACUUCUAAUGAGAGUACAUCAAAGUCUGCCAAAUCAUCAUAUGGAAAUGAGGCUAUUCAGUGUGAAGAUGAUGUUUACGCAUCUGUUUUGAAUACCAAAUGUGACCAGUACAUGUCUCAUCACAUUAACAUUUCAAAUGAUACAAUUAAUGCUAUUACAACUCUUACUAAAGAUCAAUCUAAUUCUCAAGUUUGGCAUCAAGAAAGAAGAAAAAGAAAAACAGCAUUAAAUUUGGGACUUAUUUUGAAAAGAAAAACAAUAUCAAUAUCUGUGAAACUUUUAAAGGGAAUGAAUUCACACUUUUUGGAUUACAACAAGAAAUAAAUACCAUUCAUGAAUUAAAAAAAAAAAACUGAACAAGGAAUUAAUGUUAAUGUUAACAGAUGUGAAUUAUUUAUUCAUCCUGAACAUAAAUUUUUAGAUGGAAGUCCAGAUGGAAUCGUUUUUAUCAACAUCAAUAGGGAAGGACUUAUUGAAGUUAAAAAUGUUUUUAAAAAAUAUAAAAAUUAACUUAUUUCAAGCUGCCAAUACAAACAGAAAUUUCUUCUUAGGAAUAGAAAAGGACAAAUUAAAAUUAAAAUUGAACCACAUUUACUAUUAUCAGUGUCAAGGUUUAUUGCAUAUAUGCAAUUUACCGUUGAUAGACUUUAUAGUAAGGACCACAGACCCAUAUCAACUCCACGUGGAAACAAUUUAUAAAGACAAUACCCUUUGGGAAUCAUGGAUUCCAAAGCUUAAAGCAUUUUAUUGCAAGGUUUUAUUGCCAGAGUUAGCUUGUCCGAGACACAGAAAAAUUCCUGGAAUAAGAGAGCCUGGAGUAUGGAUACAACCAAGCCUUCUGUAAGUAAAAGGACGGUUACAUGUCGUAAAAAAUCUACUUCAAGGACCAAAUCAACUUCCACAGUGACCCAGAAGAUUAGUACAGUAACAUCAGAUAGGAAUACUGCAAGACGAGCAGCAUCUUCAAACACAAAGUUUGUUGGUAGACAAAUUAAACAUAAAUGGAAGUUGUGCAUUGAUUCUGAAAAUACCGAGUGAUAUACUGGCUAUGUAACAUCCCUUUUGUCUGGAGUCGAUGGGAAUUCUAAUGCAGUGUAUGAAGUGCUAUAUGACAAUGAUGACGAACCUUACAUGAUUAAACAUCUUGUAGAAGACUUCAAGGAAGGAUCAGUACAGUUUUUGGAUUUAUAGGGUAUAAUCUCACAUACAUAUAUGUUUUUUAAUACUGUGCAUAACCUUGCAUGAUAUUUUUUAAACAAUUAAUGUUGCAAUGUGAUGAAAAAUAUUCCCCAUAAUUUCAACUUGCAUAUUGUGUAAUAACCCUCCUUAUUAGCUCACCUAAGCACAAUGUGCUCAUGGUUAUUUUUUAUUCCAUUUUGUCCGUCGUGGGUCAUACAUUAUGCAUCAUGCUUGAUCAUCAUUUAACUUGUUUACCCUAUAGAGGCCACAUUUAUUGUAUAUGUUUUAUGAAAUUUUGUCUGAAGAUUAUUAUGUCUCAAUUAUAUUUUGAAUGAGUAAAGUAAGUAUUAUGUUUGGUUGAAAAACAUUAGUGACAAGGGGCAUGGCAUUUUUCCUUGUAUGACUAUAUAUGGCUGUACUUAAACCUUGUAAACACUUUAGUGGUCACAUUUAUUGUACGAUGUUAAUGAAACUUGAACAGAAGAUUCAUACCAAUAAUAUAUUGGAUUAGUUAGAAAAUGAUGAUGGUUGAAAAACAUGUAUGCCAAGGAGGCGGGGCAUUUUUCAUUACAUGCCUAUAAUUGUAUAUGGCUAUAGAAAAACAUUGUAAACACAAUUUAUGCCACAUUUAUUGUCUGAUGUUCAUGUAAAUUGAUCAGAACAUUUGUACCAGUGAUGCAUUGAAUGAAUUUUAUUCUUAAAUGUUUCUGUCUGUAUGAAAAGCAUUGCCGCCAAUAGGGCGGGGCACUUUUUUAACCAGGUUUUCCGAAGGAAAAAACUGGUUAUUAGAUUGGCGAAUGCUGGCGGGCUGGCUGGCUGGCGGGCUGGCGGGCGGGCGGAACAAGCUUGUCCGGGCCAUAACUUGUCGUCCAUUGUGAGAUUUUAAAAUCAUUUGGCACAUUUGUUAACCAUCAUUAGACGGUGUGUCGCGCAAAAAAAUUACGUCAAUAUCUCCAAGGUCAAGGUCACACUUUGAGUUCAAAGGUAAAAAAUAGCCAUAAAUGAGCUUGUCUGGGCUAUAACUAGGUCAUUCAUUAUGAGAUUUUAAAAUCAUUUGGCACAUUUGUUCACCAUCAUGGGACGGUGUGUCGCACGAAAGAAUCACGUCAAAAUCUCCAAUGUCAAGGUCGCCACGACUAAAAAUAGAUUUAUUUUAAAACAAACUUACAAAGGGGGUUAAUUUUGUUUGUUCAUUUCAAAAGUUCAGUUUGAGUUGUCUCCCUUUAUCAGAUUUUUUUUUUCACAAUGAAAACCUGGUUUUGUGACAAUUUUGUCCCUUGUCUUAUAUACAUAUAGUGAAAGCUUGUUAACACUAUAGAGGCUACAUUUAUUGUGUCAUUUGAAUGAAAUUUGUUCAUAAAAUUGGUGUAAAUUAUAUGUUUGAUGAGUUGGAAAAUUGUUAAUUUUGUUUGAAAAACAUGGCUGCCAAGGGGUGCGACAUUUUUCCUUAUAUGGCAUUAUAUGUCUAUAGUAAAACAUUGUAAACAGUAUAGUAUUAUGAAAUGUCACAUGCAGACAGAAUAUAUAUUUUCUUAGUACUUUUCUUAUCAUUAAAAUUAAAAUAUAGUAAUUUUCCACAAAUGUAAAAUAGUAAAUAUAGUUUAAUGUCACAAUUGGUACACCAUACUUAAAGUAGUUCCUAAUUUUGUUUGUUACUUUUUGACAUUUGUUGAUGUUUUUCUUUUGCAUAUUUUAGGGUUGUUGGUGUGUGUUGUGCGGAAUUUUCAUUUGUAGUACCUUCAAUUUAGUGUAUACAAUCUUUUCACCGAAGGAAUUUGUUAAAUGUAACUCUGUAACUUAAUUUGAUAUUUUCAUGCAUGCAUACUUCUUCAAAAGCAACAUUUUGCAUAUUUUUUUUUUUCCUUUUCAUUAACUGAUAUGUUCUACAAGUAUUUACGAGCAUAUUAAGAUAUAAAUUGAAUUAAAUUACAUAAUAUUUAUUGAACUAUCCCUAUUUGAAGAAUACACCUUUUGACACUUUACAUGAACCUUAAAAAAACUUCGGAUUAAAGGUCAAUUUUAAAGAAAAUCCAAACUCAAUAUAUUAAACGCUAUAUACAUUGAAAUAUGA